CCUACGGGUGGCAGCAGUGAGGAAUAUUGGUCAAUGGGCGCGAGCCUGAACCAGCCAAGUAGCGUGAAGGAUGACUGCCCUACGGGUUGUAAACUUCUUUUAUAAAGGAAUAAAGUGAGGCACGUGUGCCUUUUUGUAUGUACUUUAUGAAUAAGGAUCGGCUAACUCCGUGCCAGCAGCCGCGGUAAGACGGAGGAUCCGAGCGUUUGCCGGAUUUAUUGGGUUUAAAGGGAGCGUAGAUGGGUUGUUAAGUCAGUAGUGAAAGUUUGCGGCUCAACCGUAAAAUUGCAAUUGAUACUGGCAGCCUUGAGUACAGUUGAGGUAGGCGGAAUUCGUGGUGUAGCGGUGAAAUGCUUAGAGAUCACGAAGAACUCCGAUUACGAAGGCAGCUUACUAAACUGCCACUGACAUUGAUGCUCGAAAGUGUGGGUAUCAAACAGGAUUAGAUACCCUAGUAGUC
This 460-nucleotide ribosomal RNA is filed under the name uncultured bacterium. RNAcentral's name for it is "partial 16S ribosomal RNA". It matches the Rfam family "Bacterial small subunit ribosomal RNA", at positions 338 to 795 of the family's 1533-position model. The record is from RNAcentral.